ACAACACACAACAUUCCAGGAAUGUACUACCAAAGUUCUAUCAAUAUUUGAAUGUCCUGGACAUUUAGGGAACAUUCGGUGAACAUCUGUUUAAAUUAUUCCUGGAAUGUUACCAUAAGACAUUCUGUGAACAUACUACCAAUGUUCCUAUAUUUUAAGUUGCGAAAUAAUACAUACGUGUAAGAGAUACAACAUUACUUAUAACAUACCAGACAAACUAAGUGACAUUUUAGGCCUACAGUGCAAUAAUAUGUCAAAUUUAAAGAGUUUCCCAAGAUUAUAAACAUACAAAUGUAAUAAAAAUUAUUGUUCGCGAAUAUUCAAUUUGGAAUGCGAUUUUGUUAAUAAAAAAAUACUUAUAACUUAUGCAAAACCCAAGAGAGGCAUUUAUAUUUAUUUCUUUUGCGUUCAUUUUCAAAUUCGCCGUGCAUAUAUUUUUGUGCAUGGCGCUUGAGAGGGCAUCACGUGACUAAAAACGACCAACCAACGACCUCGCUUCGGCCAUCUUGGCAUCUUCAUCUUGGCGACCUUGCCUUGCCGUGGAUUGUUUUUAGUUGCUUGUAUUAUUUGUGCUUUUUAAGAAUAUUUUUUUAAUUCGGAUACUUUUAUAAUAGCUUUAAUAGUAUUAUUAACAUAGUGCAUAAAAUGGUGUCCUGUUUUUAACGCAGUUGGAGUAGCAGAAACAAAUGUAGAUAAAAAAAUCUGCAGGAAUAACAUUUCAAUUAUGACAGAAGCUCAAAACAAAUGACUGUGAAUGAAAAGCCCUAUUAAAAGCUUUCCAGAAGAUCCUGCGAAGAAGACAUGAAGUAUAGAUCAGAUUUGUUAAUAGAGGAGUAUGUUCAAAACACUUUUUAGAAAAAGAUAUUGACAGAACUUCACUUUCAUCUGUUCGUUUGAGAGACUGUGCUGUUCCAAUAGCUUAUGUCACACAGAAUCAGCUGAGAGAAGUGGUCUACAAAAAACCAGAAAGGAAACGGAAUAUGUGGCUACGAAAAGCAAAAGAAAGGUUUACAAAGCAAAUGUGACACAUUUUUUUAUAAUAUUUAGGAAUGUCAGCAAAUUACAUUAAAAAAUGUAUGUAAAGAUUUUUUGCAAUAAAAAUGUUUAUAUUUA
This 1113-nucleotide long non-coding RNA is filed under the name Diabrotica virgifera virgifera (western corn rootworm). RNAcentral describes it as "uncharacterized LOC126880330". The record is from RNAcentral. Lineage: Eukaryota; Metazoa; Arthropoda; Insecta; Coleoptera; Chrysomelidae.